GGGGCUAACUGCGGCCUUCAGGGUAGUGCCACAGGCUCUGAGGGUACCUUCAGGAAAAUAAACCUGUAAGGAGAAAUAUUCUGGGUGCAGUCACAUCUCCCUGAACACAUCCCUGUUCCUUGCAGGUGCCUGAGGGUGCCCAUGGGGCUGUGAGGAAUGUGACAGCCCUCUUGAGGAGUUGUAUCUAUCUUGAGAUAGCUGUGAGGGGACAGCCCCAGCACCAGGGGUCAGUGGGAAACACAGCUGUGUUUUCUCCCCUGCAAGGGGUAUCUGGACUUAGACUCCCAAGACAAGAUAGUUUCAGGGCAUAGGACAGCUUCUUUUUGGGAAGUGGACUCUGGCAAGCAGAAGUUAAGAAGCUUCCAGGUCAUGGCCCUGUGCUGAAGCACACCUAGAUGUUCUAGGUGGGACCUACCACAGUGAGAACUGCAGCAGCAAUCAGCCCUAGUGCUGGCCAUGAUCUGCAAUCAGCCAUCAAGUUCCAGUUUUCUUGUGUUGAUGUUUUCCACCCUCAUAUGCUCUAACUCCGACAAGAAGAAUGCAUAUUUCAAAUCAGGAUAUGAACCACCUGCCCAUAAAUCAGCCAAAUACAGGCCCUGCACCUAGCACAAUCUUUAACAUUUCUCCUAGGCAUGAUACUUUUUCUAUCCACAAUGUCCAUGGCUUUUAGAAAUAUUGAAUGUUUUUGUGUGGAAAAGUACAUGCUCCUCAUUUUUGUUCUUUAAGUUUUCAUAGUAUAUCAGAUUGUGUAAGCGCUUGCUUCUGAGCAACCAGGUCCACAAUAGGUGGGUAGAAGAUCAGCGGUCCUUAGAUAGUCUUCAGACUCCUAUUGCUGCCUUCAGAGUUCUUACUGUGUAGCCAUUACCACUGACAAAUCAUGUUGCAUCAGAAGGGGAUCCUGACUCAAGUCUGAAAAUUGUUGAAGCUCAGGAGAGCUUGGAUCAGGAUGCAAAUAUGAACAAGUUGACGCUAUUGGGCUAUGGCAAAUAAUGAAGAUCAUCAAUACAGUCACAUUAAUGUGGUCACUUAUCCCUAAAGGAAACUUCAUUGACUGAUGAGGUACUAGGGGCAUUAAUCAAUUAACUAAUAGUGCUUUUAUCUUAAUAAGAAAGAACAGAAUAGUCUUGAGUAGAAAUAGCAUGCUAGAAUAGAAAUAUAGAGGUAACCAUCUCUUUGUUAACAUAAAACAGGGUAGACCUCUAUACUUUUUCUAAAAAUAUGGCUUUGGUUUAAAAUAGCAAAAAUAAAAAUUAAAGGGAAAGAAUCAUGGAAAGCACCUUUUUUUCAUGACUGAUGCCUCUUCUGCAGCUGCAAGCACAUUCGUUUCUCCAUAAUCCCUAGCAGUGUAGAAGAAAGAGAGCCUUCAGGUGAAAGGUUACCUACAUUUAUAAUGUCAGGCACUGAGACUGGUGAGGUAAAAGGUAAAUGGUAAUUUUAUCAUUAGCGUGCCUGACCCCUUGCCCCCACCAUAUCUCAUAGGAGACGUUAAGAAUGGCUCACCUGUCAAGAUGCAAACACUUAAAGGUCAAUGCGCACAGAAAUCUUCAAGAGCUUACAACUGAAUUGCUGACACCUUUUAUUAUCACCGCUUAAAUAAAUGAUUCAAGUGGCAAGACAAGGAAACACCUGACUGCAUAGCAGAGCAUAAGCAGACAUCCACAUGCCAGGGGUAUCAGAGAUUUCACUGGAGCAGACCUCAACUGAACCACAGACUUAACUAUGACUGAAUUUACACAAGCGAGUUUUCUCAGUGGGACUUAAACUUAGCCCGAUGCUUAAGCACUUAGCUGAGUCAAGGAUCUAAUGAGUGAAGUGCUGGAAUUACAGCUGCCAUUUCACAAAAGGCACCGUAUAAAAAUAUAUACAGUUCGCGGCAACUACAGCUUUCUAUCUGCAGACCUUCUUUUAUGUAAUUUCACACAUAGAUCAAAACUGCACAAAAUGCAGUUUUUUUUGCCUUGCACUGCUCUUGUGCAUCAAAAACUUCUGUACUACCUCAAUUUUAACCAUGCAUUAUUAAGAUAUUGUAAAAUGGUUUAUAGCCAUUGUAAAAUUAUUUUCAUUUUUUUACCUGACCACCUGAGGAAGACACCUGGUAGUGAUAAAAUUAUUUUUACUACAUGCCUUUCAGGACAUAAGAGAAAUAAAACACUUUCUU
Neopsephotus bourkii (Bourke's parrot) is the source of this 2158-nucleotide long non-coding RNA. RefSeq lists it as uncharacterized. The transcript has 3 exons. The record is from RefSeq and is a predicted model, not a curated record. NCBI's taxonomy places the organism in Eukaryota, Metazoa, Chordata, Aves, Psittaciformes, Psittacidae.